RNAcentral lists this ribosomal RNA (384 nucleotides) under uncultured bacterium. RNAcentral's name for it is "bacterial SSU rRNA". It matches the Rfam family "Bacterial small subunit ribosomal RNA", at positions 30 to 396 of the family's 1533-position model. The record is from RNAcentral.
AGUGAACGCUGGCGGCAGGCCUAACACAUGCAAGUCGAGCGGCAGCGGGUCCCCGCGAGGGGAUGCCGGCGAGCGGCGGACGGGUGAGGAACACAUCGGAAUCUGCCUGGUUGUGGGGGAUAACGUAGGGAAACUUACGCUAAUACCGCAUGCGACCCUGAGUCGACGGACUGGGGGUGAAAGUGAGGGACCUUCGGGCCUCACGCGACCAGAUGAGCCGAUGUCGGAUUAGCUAGUUGGCGGGGUAACGGCCCGCCAAGGCGACGAUCCGUAGCUGGUCUGAGAGGAUGAUCAGCCACACUGGGACUGAGACACGGCCCAGACUCCUACGGGAGGCAGCAGUGGGGAAUCUUGGACAAUGGGCGCAAGCCUGAUCCAGCCAUG